Long non-coding RNA from Balaenoptera acutorostrata (minke whale), 9828 nucleotides. RefSeq lists it as uncharacterized. NCBI's taxonomy places the organism in Eukaryota, Metazoa, Chordata, Mammalia, Artiodactyla, Balaenopteridae. The record is from RefSeq and is a predicted model, not a curated record. The transcript has 4 exons.
CUCCUGGUAGCCUCCCUGAGUUCAACCAAUCCAGUGAGGAGAAGCCGUGGGCGGGGCGGGCUCGGCUGCCAGAGCGGCGUGAAAAAUUUCCCAAGGCGGAGCGAAAACCUUUCCUGAGCGACUGAGCAUGCCCGGUGGUGAAAGUAUACUCCAUGCUUGGGGUGAAGACUUCUCUCUCUUGCUGGCCAUGAAAAAGAAAGCACAAAGCUUCAGGACUGUUGGCUGCCAUCUUGGAAGUAUGAGGGGAACCAGCCUGAGAAUGAACCCAGAUGCUGAGGACAGUAGCACACAGGAAUGGAAACAGCUUGCAUCUGUGAUGCCGUCUUUGAGCUGAUAACCGUACUGCAUCUGGAUCCCCAUUCAGUCUCUGGGUUUACAGUUACAGGAGGGUAUGUGGUUUAAACUCUCCAUGGGCUGACAAAAUCAGAUUUCUGACUCUGCAAAGCUAAGAAGACUCUGCUCCUGGAAGGCCUCUCCACUGACAGACUGAAUGUGAUUGGUCUACAGAACAGAGUUGAGAACAGAUGCUGUUUGAUCACGGUCUGCUCCAGUGGGUCUACAUGACAUGGAACAUGUGACUGCCACUCCCCGAGCCUCCUGACUCACUUGGUCCAAGAGGGGACUUGCCCUGAGGGUUGGGGCGAUGUGCCUAAAGUCCUGCAACUACAAAGUGGCAGGGCUGGGGUUCACACCCAGACUCCAGGCUCCAGCAUUGCCCUUCCAGCUGUAUCCCAGCCUCUGCUUUCCCCACGGCGCUUAGCCUGGUGCCUGGCGUGGAUGAGGAGCCCCAAGGAGCUUCCUGAAUGAAGCUGAGGCUGUACAUGAGGGAGAGAAGCGUGACUUCCUCUCCUUGUCUGCCGGGGGUUUUGCUGGGUGACUGUAGGAAUCGCUCGGCUGGCUUUCAUCAUCUACCAAUUGGGGGUAUUCACCUCUGGAAGUCAUUCCGUCACUUGUGUUCUCAAGUCACUCCAGAGGUAGCUUGCUGGUGCCUUGCAGCUUUGCUCCAAAUUUUCCAUACAAAUAAGCACGUAAGUGGAGAAGCCCCUGAUUCCAGCCAAACCCCAGAUUGCUGCUCUCUUUCCCAAAGGAAAGAAAGGAAACGUGUCUCGUGCUGCAGCUGGGCUGCCCGAGCGAGUCAAGAGCUGGGAGGCACUGAUCGCUUUGGGACCGGCAUCUUCCUCGAUUUCAUCUUUUCAUUUUUCUGCUGGGCUUGAGGAGACCUGGGUCUUAUUAUUAUCAUGCGCCUCAGCAGAGAUCUCGUCCUUCCCACCUUCUCCACUUACAGUAGGCCCAGCGAAUUCAGUUCAGCCCCAGGAGCACCGAUUGUGUGACCAUCACGCCCGAGCCCUGAGUGGGGCAGAAGGAACACAGAGAUGAGUGAGGGGCGCCUUCUCCAGGGAGGACACACUCUGGCCGGUGACCAGCCGGGGAGGGGCUGGCACAAGCAGAAGUGUCUGUCCUCCUGUGCGGCUGGGGAACUCACAGGGGGGGACCUGUGUCAGGUGCUUCCCUGUGUUACCUGCGUCCUUGCUGUUCCCCCACCUUUGCUGCACAGACAGGAAUCCAGGCUCGGAGGCAGCGGCCAGAGUACGAGAGGUGGCAGGCUCCUGAGGACCUGGCUUCCAACCCGGUCCCCGCCACUCCCUAUGCCUGUGACCUUGAGCGCUUUCCCCAGCUUCUCUGAGCCUCAGCUUGGUCACCUGUAAAUGCAGAGGUACAGGACCACGGGGCUCAGUGAGAACACAAGGUUGGAAAGUUCAGUGCAGUAUCCUCAGCGCUCCUGGAGAUCAGACAGCUCCUUGGGGGCGAGCUCAGGUGCUGCCUCCCCUCCGGCUGUCUGCUCCGUUCAAGAAGAGCUGGGCUCCGUCACCCCAGAGGAAAUGCCUGAGUGGAUCCCGUAGGAAUGGGUUUAGUGGCCUUGUUCUUCAUUAUUAGCCUCCCCAGAGGGACGUGUGCCUUGCCUGCCUGGCCGGCGUGGAACUGAUGGAUGAGAGGGGAGGGCAGAGUGGCCCGAUGGGUCUUCCCUGCAGGAAGGAGCCUGGCCCUGAGGACAGCCACCCACGCAGCUCUGGCUGCACAGCCUUCCAAGCUCCGACCCAGACCUCCACUCCUUUUGCCCCCUUGGGAGGAGGUGGCUGGAAAGCUCAUUUGCCGGGACUGCAAGACGCUGUGUGGCCCUGGGUUUGGUGAAGGUGGCAAGGGGCCUACGUGGGGGUAUAUCUAUUGAUUCCAGUGGCUUUCAUGUCCUUCCUUGUUUCUCUCAUUUUAUUUUGUUCCAGCAGCGGCUUUCUUUUUGCUGCCUCUGAGAAGACCCUCGGGAGAGGCUGGCUCGGGGUCUUCCUCGCAAAUGCACGUCUGGCUCAGGGCUGCUUUGAUGGCUAGAGGGCAAUUCGCCUUAGAAAUCGGCUGCAGUGUUGGCAGUUCCUCCCGGAGAGAGCUUUUCCGGGGGGGACCUCGCGAUGGAGUGUUGCUGCUCACGAGGGGGUGGGGAAGCAGAAGUAACCUAAAAGGAAAGGCAUCUAUUUUAAUGUUCUUGCAGAGCUGCGCGUCUCCUGCAUAUGGGUCCAGCCCACUCUCGUGAAGCGGCUCCUUUUGGAAAACAGGGGACUUGCAAACGGCUUGUUAAAGCUAAGGAAACGAAGAGGAGAGGAAACAGAAGCGUGUGUAAGCAGAACCCAGCGCCUUCAGCUGUAUUGGCAGGCCCCCGAAUCCAAAAACCCUUGGUUUUCAUUGGAGCCCAGAGAGACCUCACUUAUCCUCAUGGGAUGGAAAGUGCCAGGUAGCCGGGAAGAAGGGGGCACCGUCACCCCCACUGCCUUCUCUGAGUUGACAGCUUUGCUAGGGAGACAUACACAAAAAAGCCCUCUUGAUAUAAGAGAGCAAGUAUGCCUAAUAAUAACAGCUAACAUGCUUGCUGUAUGUCGGUGCUUUAAAAGCAUUAAGUAAUUUAAGUUCACCAAAACCUUGUGAUGCAGAUAUUAUGAUUAUCAUCUCCAUUUUACAGAUGAGAAAACGGAGGCACAGGGCAGUGAAGUAACUUGUCCAAGGUCAUCUCUAGUAAGCUGAGGAGCUGGAAUCAAAUCCAUGCUCUCUAGAACCCAUGCUUAUGUUCCUUACUACUGCUUGUUUCUGUCUCUUGCUCACCUUGGGAAAUCCGGGCAACUCCGAGAGCUUUAAGUGGUGCAUUUGCUGGCUCUUAAAUCCCAGAUCCCUGUUUGGUCGUCUUGUUGUACUUUUCUCCAGACUCACUUCUUUUUAAAAAAAAAAAAUUUAUUUAUUUAUUUAUUUAUUUUUCGCUGCGUUGGGUCUUCGUUGCUGCACGCGGGCUUUCUCUAGUUGCGGUGAGCGGGGGCUACUCUUUGUUGUGGUGCGCAGGCUUCUCAUUGCGGCAGCUUCUCUUGUUGUGGAGCACGGGCUCUAGGUGCAUGGGCUUCAGUCGUUGCAGCACGAGGGCUCAGUAGUUGUGGCUCUCGGGCUCUAGAGCACAGGCUCAGUAGUUGUGGCGCACAAGCUUAGUUGCUCCAUGGCAUGUGGGAUCUUCCCGGACCAGGGCUCGAACCUGUGUCCCCUGCACUGGCAGGUGGAUUCUUAACCACUGCGCCACCAGGGAAGCCCUUUUGUUUAAAAUUUAUAAAUUGAAGUAUAGCUGAUUUACAGUAUCACUUAAGUUUCAGAUGCAUAGCACAGCGAUUCAGUUAUACAUACAUAUAUAUGUGUGUGUGUGUAACUUUUUCAGAUUCUUUUCCCUUAUAGGGUUCUAUAUAAUAUUGAGUAUAGUUCCCUGUGCUAUACAGUAGGUCCUUGCUGGUUAUCUAUUUUAUGCAUAGCAGUGUGUAUAUGUUAAUCCCAUACUCCUAAUUUAUCCCUCCCCCCCCUUUCCCCUUUGGUAACCAUGAGUUUGUUUUCUGUGUCAGCAGACUCACUUCUUCUUGAACCCUGGCCUUCUUCCUCUUGUGUGAAUCACCUCACUGUGGCCGAAGGGCAGAGUCUGGAGUCAGCAGGGUGCAGGCUGGGAAAGCAGAGGGUCUGGUCCGCGGGCAGUUGUGGUCUUCAUCUCAGAAGCAUCUGCCUGGCACAUAGGGGCUUGCUCUGAGCCGGGCUCUGUGCUGGGCACUGGGGAUACACCUGGCCUUCUGGAUCUUGCCAUCUACUUGGGGAAUCAGACAAUAAACGAAUCAACAUAUAGAAACCCGGGUGAACACUACACAGAGCAUUGCAGCUGGCUCACGUGUUCAAGAGUGAUGGGUGUCUGUUUCGAGUUGGAUGACCAGAUGAGGCCUCUCAGAGAAGCGACACUGAAACUGAGAUCUUAAUGUCGAAAUGGAGCCAGCCAUGGGGUGAUCAGGGGAGGGGUGCUCCAGGGAGAGGCACCUGCGUGGCUCAGGGCCCCGCUGUGAGGGCAGGAUGGGUGUGUGUGGACACAGGCUGUGUUGCGGGAGCGUGGCGGGUGAGGAGUGUGGCAGAGGUAAGGUAGGGGAGGAGGCUGGGAUGCAGGGCUUCGUAGGUCACGGUGAGGCGCUACGCUUUCGUUUAAGUGCGUUAGAGAGCCACGGAGGCUGUGAGAGCGGGAGGGACAGGAUCGCAUGAAAUGCUGCCAUUUUGCUGACACCAGCCCCUCUGCUGUGGUGCACGUGUCAGCCUCAGAUGCCAGUAGUGUGGCCUGAUGGUUAGAGCUGCGGUCAUGGAAUGAGAACAGCUAUUCCAUUCAUCCUCUUGUUCUUCAUCCAGCAAGCGUCCUUGGGCACCGACCAGGGCCCAACACAUUGCUUGGCACCGAUGAUACAAAGUGGACUGGGGUACAUCCCCGGCCUCCAGCAGUUGCUGCUAUGGGGACACAAGGAAAGUAUUGGCCCAGCACUGGUCAGCAGAGGUUGAAAGUCAGCUUCCCCGAAGGGUACAGGACAAAAGUAAAUGAUCCUCUGGUCUUUUACGAGAUGCACCUGAGACAUAUUAGAAAAUAAGUAAUUUUCUGACUGUUAAGAAAUCUUAAUUAAAAUAACAUGAAUACAAUCCAAUGGAAUAAAUAUUAACGGAACCACUAAGUUUGUCUGGUUAUGGGGACUCAGAGAGAAGGUGGUCCUGGAAGAUAAGGAGGAGAAAGGGUUGGGGGGAAAUCUGGGCAGAGGGAACAGGGUGCUUGGCCUGCGUGUUCUGGACCCUCUUACUAGGAGCGUUGGGGGAAGGAAGGGAGCAUGACGAGGUCAAACUUGGAAAAAAAUCCUCUGUCAUCUCUCCUUACAAAUGUUACAGCCUCACAUUUCAGUCAACACCCUUUCAUGGGUAGGGACACUAGCCACGCUCAGAAGUAGCCAAGUUCCCAGCAGCUAGAAACUUACAAGACCUUGCUGACAACUGGGCCUGGUAGAGAAAAACCAAAACCAAAACCAAAACCAACUUUCUUCCCCUAAAUCCCAAUGCAUGUUAUCGUGCCCUCCGGUGGCUCAAAGUGAAAUGACAAUCCCGCAGAUCCCAAACAAAACGCUCCAUUGUUCUCUACUGUUUACUAAGUAACCAACCUAUUUAUUGUGCUUCACCCCGUGUACCUACCAUUCGCAGACCUGGCAAAUGUUGUCUCUUCCAUGAUGUUCUCCUAUAUUUCCAUCCGCAAAUAAUUUCUGCCUACUCAGUCCUUAUUACUCAUCCACGCAUUUUUCACUUAUCUUUUGAGAAACUAUUAUUAUAUGCUGGGCUUUUGAACAUCUGCCUUGAAUUCAAGUUCCCCUGUCUUCCCAGGCACACCAGGAGCUUCUGGAAGGUGGAGAAUCAGACUGAGUCCCUCUGUGUUUGAUAGAGGGGUAGAACAUUAAUUAGAACCAAACUAAAUGUGGCCACUUGUACCUGCAAGAGGGGUGUGUGAGACACAAUUUGUGUGAGACGCAAAAAGGGACAUACAGUUCUUUUUUUCCCUGUGUUUAAUUAAAAAAAAUUUAAAUUGAAGUAUAGUUGAUUGGCAAUGCUGUGUUAGUUUCAGGUGUACAGCAAAGUAAUUCAGUUAUAUAGAGAGCAUUAUAUACAUAUAUAUGUGUUCUUUUUCAGAUUCUUUUCCAUUAUAGGUUAUUACAAGAUAUUGACCAUAGUUUCCUGUGCAAUACAGUAGGUCUUUGUCAGUUAUCUGUUUUAUAUAUGGUAGUGUGUAAGGACAUACGUUUCUAUUCUGACCUUUUUCCUUUGCUGAGCUUUGCUGGAGAAGAAGCAAUUGUUGCGACUGCUCCUGAUGCAGGGCCAGCUAAUGUACUGAGUGCUUAGGAGACCUGAGUGAUUAACCUUUCUGCACCUCAGUUUAUUCCUCUGUCCAGUGGAGAUGAUAGUACCUCUUGCAUAGACAGCUCUGUGAGCGUUAGCUGAGUUUCUACAUGUGAUGUGGUUAAGAGCCGCUCUGCUAUUGCCCAGAAUGGGACUGGCUUGUGGGAUUACAAUAGAAUAAUGACUGCCUUCUCGGUCUGCUGCAAAGAUGACAUUUGAUAAUACCUGUAAAGUCCUAGAACAUGGCCUGGCAUCAUGAGAUACAGUCAGCCCAGAGAGGCCUCCAUCCACCCGAACGGGUGAUUUGAAUAUAUAGACUGGAAAAACGCAUUUGGAGACAUUUGUGGUUAACUGAACACAGGCUGGCUAUUAGAUGACAUUGGGAAAGAGAAAAGUGGUCCCUGACAUCCAGGAGCUGGCCUGAUGCUCUUAGCCUGGCUUGGCUGUUGUCAUCUAAUCUGUCUGUUUUUUGUGGCUACUGAAGUCUCUGUUUGCUUAGCUUAGUUGUGUGCUCAUAACUGGACAGUUAUUUCCUGAAAGGCCGGGUCCAGUAAGCCACCAAGACUAUGCCAAAGGGCUUUGUGUGUGUGUAUGUGUGUGUGCUGGUGCCUGCCUUCAACACCCAUUCACACAGGUAACAACUCUGCCUAGGCCUUCACUUCCUGCUUGCACAAAACCACGAGGGCAGAUGGAGGGGUGUGCUCAGGGCCUUCCCGGGGCUUUCCUGAGCGUGAGCACAGCCCUGUGCGCGCGUGUGACAUUCUAGGUUCCUAGGAGCUGUGUCAGAACUUUCCGAAGCCACCUAUGAACAUCUCACUCCCCUGUUUUGUCAGCUGGUUGCUUCCCCAACCCUCCUUGGGCAGCUGUCACGUGGGACAUUUGCCAUGAAGUGUUUCUCAGAAAUGUCCCAGGAAAAAGUCUCUUCCCACCUGGCGAGCUCUGAGUCAGGUCAAACAAAGAGAGGCCGUGAAAGUGGAGAGCUCCAGCAAACGGCCAGACAGGUCCCAGAGUGACCAUGCUUGGAGAAGGGGGCUUUGGAGGGGCUUCAGUCCCACCCUGCCCCCCUCCACAGGCUGCUGGUUUCCACUGGGACUUAGGGCUGUGGUUUUCAAGCCUAUUGUGAAGCUGGAGAGGAAGGAUGGGAACACGGCAAGUGAAGAUGCCACAUGGCUCAAUUUUUUUCAAAAGAACGGACUUAGCCUUUUUUUCUGAAACAACUGUUUCCCAGAUCGUUGCGUUUAUGGAGGAGCGGAUUUUUGAAGGGCCUCACUCCACCUCAUUCCCAUUGACGUCAUCCUCCCAAGCCAUUUUUAGGAAUAAUUAAUCUAAGUCAUUUGCAUUAUGCUGGUGCAAUCACUCCUGUCUUCUCGCCUCACAUAUUCAAACAUUCUGCAAGAAAGCCCCACGCCUUCCGCAAGUACGCUUCUUUGUACAAGUCAAGAGGAAGGGUCUAGGGUUAUAUCUGGGGCAAGAGGAUUUAAAACAGGGACAAGAAGAAAAUAGAAGCUGCCCUUCUUCUAUUUCUCUGUCUUGCCUCUUCUCCCAAAUUCUUGGGGAGAUUGCCCUGGUUGUGGGACUCAGAGUAAUUUCAUUUACAUUUCAAAAGACUGAGAACAAGGCAGAUACCUGGGAUGUCCCAAAAGAACAUUUCCUGAGCACAUAGGGCAGCCAGGGGUUGGGUAUCCAGUGAUGAGUAAGACACAGACUCUUUUGAGUAUCUCAUAGUUCAGGGGGGACAUAACGGUAUAUGAUUAAGGGAGAUGAGGCAGGUGCUAUGGAAGAGGAAUCCUGAAAUCUCAGUUGUUUAACACGAGGCAUGUUUCUCGCUCACCCCCAGCCCCUCCCCUUGGUGAUGCAGGCUGUGGCAGGGCGGGGACCCAGGCUCCUUCCACCUUGUGGCUCCUUCCUCUGUGGAUCCUCAGAGUCCUCUCCAUUCAGCCUGAUGGAUGGGGGCGGGGCGGGGAGGAAGGGGGUCAGCACGUGGCUGUGAUGCGAGCUUGGAAGGGCUGGGUGUCCUAAGAGAGAUCAUGGAGUUUCUGGGUGGGGAAGGACUUCUAACCGAGCGCUCUGGGAUAGUGUUUUUGAGCAACCGAUCUUUCAGCUUGGCUUCAGUGGCCCGGGCCUCAUGCUGUAGACAGGAAUACAGGUGGGUGUGGGCCCUUCAGAGUUCAGCUUAGGCAUCUCUGGGGGAGUCAGGAUACUCCCUGAGCCAUCAUGGCAGCUGGGAAUCAGCAACAUCAACACACUUUCUGUCCUUUCUUUACUUGUGCAUCGGGCUGGACUCUCAGCUACAAGGGACAGAAGUAAAGCGGGUGAGGGUGGGAGAUGGGUGAAGAGGGUCAAAAGGCACAGACUUCCAGUUAUAAAAUAAACAAGUCAUAGGAUGUCAGGUACAGCAUGGUAACUGUAGUUAAUGAUGCUCUAUUGUAUAUUUGAGAGUUGCUAAGAGAGUAGAUGUUAAAAGUUUUCAUUGCAAGGAAAAAACUUUGUAACUGUGUGGUGAUGGAUGUUGACUAAUUGCAGUGACCAUUUCACAAUAUAGACAAAUGCUGAAUUAUCAUGUCGGGUACCUGAAACUAAUAUAAUGUGGUAUGUCAAUUAUAUCUAAAAUAUAUAUAAUAUAAAAUAGUUCAUAUUAUAUAAUAUACAAUGUUACAUAUAUACUAUAUAUGUAUGUAUACUGUAUCCAUAUAUCCAUAUAUAUAUAUCAUAUAUAUCAUACAUAUAUUAUACAGUACAUAUACGUAUACUGCCGUGGUCACAGGAAGUAUAAAUAAAUCAAGUACAGGUGAAUUAAAAAAAGAAAGAAAUUAGUUUAAGCAAAGAGGGGAUUUAUCAUGUUGAUAAAUUGUAUCAGUUUAGGUUCUAGUGGUCAGGAUACAGUCAGGAGAGAAAGAACCCAGUGCACAGAACAGGGCAAGUUUGAUAGAAAGAAGCCUUCAUUGUAACGAGGGAUUAGAGUGAUGAAGGGUUGGCCCGAGGAGGGCAAGAGAACCGUAAAAGGAUGUAGCAAGAGGUGAUGUAAGGAGCAGCCAUUGCCCCUCGGGCUGAGAUAGGGCGACUAAGCGAGGCCCAGACUGCACUGGACACGGACAGCAUGUCUUCGACCCUCUGAAUGGCAAGAGAAGUUGCUGUGGUGCUGGGCCGGCAGAACUUACUGGAACUUGCAAGAAAUCUGCUUCCUAUGAAGUCAAGGAAAGCUGUUCACAGGGAGGUGUCUCACCAGGCACUCUGCACUCACCCUGAGGGGGCUGCCAGGGAAGCUGCUGGCCACUGCGCCCUGCAGGAGCCUGGGCUGGGGGAGUCACCUGAGCGGGGUGGAGGAGCCCUGUGGCCCCAGGAGCUUGCCUAAGGUGCCCUGGAACCAGGGGAAUGUCCCCUACGCCUGUAGCGUCUCUCCCGCGCCCUCUACUGACAAACAUUAGCGUUAUGCCAACUGGCAAAGGAAAAAUAUUUAAAGGAUCCAGGUCUAUUUCCCCAGAGCCGGUGAUGAAGACUGAAUUUGGAGCUGAGAGGCAAUCAGUGGAUAAUUGACACAGUGGUUAAUGGUGAUUUGUGGCCUUCAGGAAAGGCUGGAUCCAGAGG